UUUGAAUGUAAUAAGUAAAAUCUAAAGGAUUAAUAGUUAUGAUCUUUAAAAUUAAAAAAUUUGGCGGUAUUUUAAUCUAUUUAGAGGAACCUGUUUUUUAAAUGAUAAUCCACGAUUAAUUAAACUUAUUUUUUAAAUUUUUAUAUCGUUGUAGGUUGAAUAUUUUAAUAGAAAUUUAAUAUUCAUAAUUUUAAAUAAAAAAAUAAAUCAAAUCAAGAUGAAGUUUAUAAAUAAGUAAAAAUGGGUUACAAUAAUGAAAAUUAAUAUGAAUAAUAAAUUGAAAUUUUUAUUUGAAGGUGGAUUUAAAAGUAAUUUUUUUUAUUUUUUAAAAAUGAUUAAAGUUUUAAAAUAUGU
Molecule: ribosomal RNA, 354 nt
Filed under: Aphanocephalus sp. CO935
Lineage: Eukaryota; Metazoa; Arthropoda; Insecta; Coleoptera; Discolomatidae
Description: partial 12S ribosomal RNA
Source: RNAcentral